AACGAACGCUGGCGGCAUGCCUAACACAUGCAAGUCGAACGAGACCUUCGGGUCUAGUGGCGCACGGGUGCGUAACGCGUGGGAACCUGCCCUUAGGUUCAGAAUAACUCCCCGAAAGGGGUGCUAAUACCGGAUAAUGUCUUCGGACCAAAGAUUUAUCGCCUUUGGAUGGGCCCGCGUUGGAUUAGCUAGUUGGUAGGGUAAAAGCCUACCAAGGCGACGAUCCAUAGCUGGUCUGAGAGGAUGAUCAGCCACACUGGGACUGAGACACGGCCCAGACUCCUACGGGAGGCAGCAGUGGGGAAUAUUGGACAAUGGGCGAAAGCCUGAUCCAGCAAUGCCGCGUGAGUGAUGAAGGCCUUAGGGUUGUAUAGCUCUUUUACCCGGGAUGAUAAUGACAGUACCGGGAGAAUAAGCUCCGGCUAACUCCGUG
This 433-nucleotide ribosomal RNA is filed under the name uncultured bacterium. RNAcentral's name for it is "partial 16S ribosomal RNA". It matches the Rfam family "Bacterial small subunit ribosomal RNA", at positions 29 to 507 of the family's 1533-position model. The record is from RNAcentral.